AUAGCAUAUCAAUAAGCGGAGGAAAAGAAACCAACCGGGAUUGCCUCAGUAACGGCGAGUGAAGCGGCAAGAGCUCAAAUUUGAAAGCUGGCCCCUUCGGGGUCCGCGUUGUAAUUUGCAGAGGAUGCUUCGGGUGCGGCCCCUGUCUAAGUGCCCUGGAACGGGCCGUCAGAGAGGGUGAGAAUCCCGUCUUGGGCAGGGUGCCCGUGCCCGUGUGAAGCUCCUUCGACGAGUCGAGUUGUUUGGGAAUGCAGCUCUAAAUGGGUGGUAAAUUUCAUCUAAAGCUAAAUACCGGCCGGAGACCGAUAGCGCACAAGUAGAGUGAUCGAAAGAUGAAAAGCACUUUGAAAAGAGAGUUAAACAGCACGUGAAAUUGUUGAAAGGGAAGCGCUUGCGACCAGACUCGGCCCCGGGGUUCAGCCAGCACUCGUGCUGGUGUACUUCCCCGGGGGCGGGCCAGCGUCGGUUUGGGCGGCCGGUCAAAGGCCCCAGGAAUGUAUCGCCCUCCGGGGUUGUCUUAUAGCCUGGGGUGCAAUGCGGCCAGCCCGGACCGAGGAACGCGCUUCGGCACGGACGCUGGCGUAAUGGUCGCAAACGACCCGUCUUGAAACACGGACCAAGGAGUCUAACAUCUACGCGAGUGUUCGGGUGUCAAACCCGUACGCGCAGUGAAAGCGAACGGAGGUGGGAGCCCCCCCGGGGCGCACCAUCGACCGAUCCUGAUGUCUUCGGAUGGAUUUGAGUAAGAGCGUAGCUGUGGGGACCCGAAAGAUGGUGAACUAUGCCUGAAUAGGGCGAAGCCAGAGGAAACUCUGGUGGAGGCUCGCAGCGGUUCUGACGUGCAAAUCGAUCGUCAAAUUUGGGUAUAGGGGCGAAAGACUAAUCGAACCAUCUGGUAGCUGGUUCCUGCCGAG
RNAcentral lists this ribosomal RNA (914 nucleotides) under Aspergillus nidulans. RNAcentral describes it as "LSU rRNA". It matches the Rfam family "Eukaryotic large subunit ribosomal RNA", at positions 35 to 965 of the family's 3401-position model. The record is from RNAcentral. Lineage: Eukaryota; Fungi; Ascomycota; Eurotiomycetes; Eurotiales; Aspergillaceae.